RNAcentral lists this ribosomal RNA (1123 nucleotides) under uncultured bacterium. RNAcentral's name for it is "bacterial SSU rRNA". It matches the Rfam family "Bacterial small subunit ribosomal RNA", at positions 47 to 1162 of the family's 1533-position model. The record is from RNAcentral.
AUUGAUUUUAUGCUUGCAUAAAUGAUUUUUGGAUUCGGAGCGAGUGGCGAACUGGUGAGUAACACGUGGGUAACCUGCCCCGAAGCGGGGGAUAACAUUUGGAAACAAGUGCUAAUACCGCAUAAUUAGUUGGAACCGCAUGGUUCCAACUUGAAAGAUGGCUCUGCUAUCACUUUGGGAUGGACCCGCGCCGUAUUAGUUAGUUGGUGAGAUAAAAGCCCACCAAGACGAUGAUACGUAGCCGACCUGAGAGGGUAAUCGGCCACAUUGGGACUGAGACACGGCCCAGACUCCUACGGGAGGCAGCAGUAGGGAAUCUUCCACAAUGGACGAAAGUCUGAUGGAGCAACGCCGCGUGAGUGAUGAAGGUUUUCGGAUCGUAAAACUCUGUUGUUAAAGAAGAACAAGUGUUAGAGUAACUGUUAACACUUUGACGGUAUUUAACCAGAAAGCCACGGCUAACUACGUGCCAGCAGCCGCGGUAAUACGUAGGUGGCAAGCGUUGUCCGGAUUUAUUGGGCGUAAAGCGAGCGCAGGCGGUUUUGUAAGUCUGCUGUGAAAGCCCUCAGCUCAACUGAGGAAGUGCAGUGGAAACUACAAAACUUGAGUACAGAAGAGGAAAGUGGAACUCCAUGUGUAGCGGUGAAAUGCGUAGAUAUAUGGAAGAACACCAGUGGCGAAGGCGGCUUUCUGGUCUGUUACUGACGCUGAGGCUCGAAAGCAUGGGUAGCGAACAGGAUUAGAUACCCUGGUAGUCCAUGCCGUAAACGAUGAAUACUAGGUGUUGGAGGGUUUCCGCCCUUCAGUGCCGCAGCUAACGCAUUAAGUAUUCCGCCUGGGGAGUACGACCGCAAGGUUGAAACUCAAAGGAAUUGACGGGGGCCCGCACAAGUGGUGGAGCAUGUGGUUUAAUUCGAUGCUACGCGAAGAACCUUACCAGCUCUUGACAUCUUCUGCCAACCCAAGAGAUUGGGCGUUCCCUUCGGGGACAGAAUGACAGGUGGUGCAUGGUUGUCGUCAGCUCGUGUCGUGAGAUGUUGGGUUAAGUCCCGCAACGAGCGCAACCCUUAUUAUUAGUUGCCAGCAUUUAGUUGGGCACUCUAAUGAGACUGCCGGUGAUAAA